UCAUGGCCAAUGAUGAUUCUAAAUACACUCUGAGUAAUCGCUAUGAAAAGAAUCGAAUCUGAGGCUGUAU
This is a small nucleolar RNA of Malania oleifera, 70 nucleotides long. The record is from RefSeq and is a predicted model, not a curated record. Lineage: Eukaryota; Viridiplantae; Streptophyta; Magnoliopsida; Santalales; Ximeniaceae.